GUUACGCUAGGAGUGGGAAUUUUCAAAUACGGGAUCAUCAAAUAUAUGAACAACACAAAACUCUUGACAUUAGCAAGAGCUCUCGGACCAUCGUAUGUUAGAAUGGGAGGAACAAAAUCUGAUCAUUCACAUUUCGUCCCAGGAAAUUUUGCCCGUCAAAGUCGAGUUGUAAAUAAUGACACGCCUACAAUUCUGCCAAGAAUUUUAACCUUUUCGCCUCGCCGCACACAAAGGUCAAAUUCUACUAGCUUCACUCUUCACAGCGGUGGUAACUAGAGCUAAGGUCGGGUCGGGUCAAUUCAGUUAGAAAUAAACCAAACAAAAGAUGAAAGAGGUAAAGGCUACUGGAAAAAUAAUGCAUCAGACAAUCAAUGUAACUAUGUUCUAUGAUUAUUAUUUUUUCAUCAUUUAUUUAUUUUUAUAAAACUGUUAUGAAUCCACAACGUGGACCUUUAAAAAAAAAAAAAAAAAAAAAGACAAUCAACAAUUUAAAAAUGAACUGAAACACAGGUGGGCAAACUGGAAAACAUUGAAAUUCUUUUUUGAGAAUAAAACAAAAUGGUCGAUUGAAAUAAAGAAUAAGAUCAAAGAGUUCAGUGUUUGCUACUCAGUGAAAUUGGCUAAAGAAGCUCAAAAUGAGUACAACAACGAAAUGAACCAAUUAAAAGAGUUAAAAAAAAGGUUAGACAUGGGAAAAAGAGUUCUCACUCAAUUUAACAAAAUGAAGCAAAAUUUGGCUAAAAACAAAAAGAAAGAGAUAACAAGAUUCAAAUACCAAACAUGGCAGAUUCCUAUGAUAAUCAAGAAAAAUGGGGUCUCAUGUACUUUCUUACCUGAAUAACUUCUAGUGGGCGUGGCGUGACAAUUUUUGGA
Styela clava is the source of this 873-nucleotide non-coding RNA. The record is from RefSeq and is a predicted model, not a curated record. NCBI's taxonomy places the organism in Eukaryota, Metazoa, Chordata, Ascidiacea, Stolidobranchia, Styelidae.